GGGUCACACAGAGUCGGACACGACUUAAGUGACUUAGCAGCAACAGACACCCACCAAGGGAUGAACUCAGUUUUCAGGGAACACCUUCCCUUCCAUUCCCUUCCCUUUCCUUCCCUUCCUUUCCUCCUUUCUAGCUUUUGGGAAAGCUUCAGGAAGGUUCCUGGUGCUCUUUAAGCCCCUAGGGAGCCUAAAGCUCACCCCUCAUUUCUAACCCCACCCCAACCCUAAGCCCUUCCCCAACCAGCAGCACAGGGCUCAUUAAAAAAAAAAAAAAAAAAACUAUUCAAAACUCAAGUAUCUAGCAGCCUCUCUGGUAACUGCAAGUGAGAACCUGAGUAAGAUCUGUAAAGAUCAUGUGAGUCAAGGGGGAAAUAAGGUCUAAUUUACGGAAGUCUCGUUUUGACCAGAUUUUCCCCAACCUCUGUCCACCCACCUAACCCCCCACCCACCCCGCGCGGGGUUUCCAACCCUCCCAGCCAGCCUUUCCUGACCCACCGUCCGUGACCCACCUUUCAGGCCAGGCUCCCAGUCCCCUCCCAUGGAAAUAUGACCUGUCACCUCAGCCGCUGGCUCAGACCACACACCGGGACACAGCCCAGCAGGAAAAGUCCAGAAGUGAUCAUCCCCACAGGCUCACGCCCCCUGGAGCAUCGCGGGACUCUGAGCACCGCCCAGAUCCGCAUCCGGAGCCUGGGCGGCGAGGGGGCGCGGGGGGUCCCGGUCUCUAACCCCCAGGUUCCAGGAAGUCUGCCGAGAGGCUGCACGCCCCCUCCUCCCACUUCCCGUCCUCCCCUCUCUCCCCGCCUUUCCCUCCGCCCCAUUCCCGGAUUGAAUUCCGGAAGAGUCCCCGAGCCUGCCGUGGGGUCCUGCAGGCGGUCCCUCUCCCGUCUGCUUUCUCUAUUAUUCUGAUCGACUCUCGGGGACACCGUUUGUCAACUGUCGAGAGCUAUGCAUAUGACCGGGGUUGGUAUUGUUAUUACUAAGAGGCGCUCGGUUUCGAAAUCGCUUUGAAUUUUCUGGCACCAAAUCUUGGCGGUUCCCGUGCCUGGAAGCCUCGGCCGCGUGGGUGUUUUUUCGUCCCUGUGACUUGCGGAGUGGAAACCCACUCCUGCUUUCCUGCUCGGGAAGACGGUGGUUUGAGACGGGAAACCAGGACUGUGUCGCUUCAGAAAGCCGGGAGCAAGACACGCCCCAGAGCUGGUUUAACCUGCUGUAACUAGACUGGCUGAAUUAACUAUCCCUCAACUGGACACAUGACCACUCAUUCCUAUGGAGGACUUUCAUCUGACAAACAUUUUCUCCUCUCCUUUGUCCAUCCCACUGGGAAGCAUCAACUGGCUACUCCUCCUCCAUCCUGACUCCGCCCCCAUCACCUGUCUGCCUCUCCCUCCUCCACCUUACCUAGUCAGUCGCUUGGAUCCUCCCCAAGCUCCACUGCUUAGCUCAGGCUCAUCAGAGCUCACCUGAACUGCGGUAGCCUCCUCCCCAUCUACCCAUCUACCCCAGCUCCAUUCCCCAUAAAAGCAGGUCUCAGCUUGCCACUUCUCUGCUGCUAAUCCUGUUUUGCAUCAGAGGCCAAGGCCCAGCCCUCAGGGACCAACGAGCAGGACAAACCAGGGUGCCUGAAUAAAACAUGCCUCUUCCAGUCAGUCACCCAGGAGAAACUUACUCAUCCCAGGAGGGGAGGCGGGGGAAGAAGCUCUAGGGAGGAUUCUGGCCCAGCCAACUCUCAUCAACCGAGGUGCCCCAGGGUUUUCCCAGUGGAUCAAUGGUAAAGUAUCUGUCAAUGCAGGAGACAGUGCGGGUUCUACCCCAGAAUUCGGAUGAUCCCCUGGAGGAGGAAAUGGCAAUUCACUCCAGUAUUCUUACCUGGAAAAUCCCAGAGACAGAGGACCCUGGCAGACUAUACAGUCCAUGAGGUUGCAAAAGAAUUGGACCUGACUGAGCAACUAAACCAUAACAACACCAUACAGGUGCCCUAACCUUGCAGGAUCUUAGUUCUAUAACCGGGGAUCAAAACUCAGCAGUGGAUGUGCACAGUCCUAACCCCUGCACCCCGAGGGAAUUCCCUAAAAGGAGAGGAUUUUUCUACCCUGCUGCCGUCUAUGGGGUCGCACAGGGUCGGACACGACUGAAGUGACUUAGCAGCAGCAGCAGCAGUGCUCCGUGAGAGAUGGUGAUAAGCGUACUGCAUGGCCCUGCCCCUUCCAGACCUCAAUUUUCCAUCUAUACAAUGGCAGUCUCGGGGACUGCAAGGACAUCAAACCAGUCAAUCCUAAAAGAAGUCAACCCUGAAUAUUCAUGGAAGGACUGAUGCUGAAGCUGAAGCUGCAGUACUUUGACUACAUGAUUUGACAAGCCGACCCAUUGGAAAAGACCCUAAUACUGGGGAAGAUUAACGGCAGGAGGAAAAGGGGGUGACAGAGGAUGAGAUGGUUGGAUAGCAUCACCAACUCAAUGGACAUGAAUUUGAACAAACUCCAGGAGAUAGUGGAGGCCAGAGGAGCCUGGUGUGCUGCAGGUCCGUGAGGUUGCAAAGAAUCAGACACAACUUACCAAAUGAAUAACAGUGAGAGUUUGAGACUAGGUUCCUGCCUUACUUCUUAAUCUUACAGCUAACCAACCAAACCAGUACCGAUGUAGUGGCCAUAAGAUGACCUUUGAUGGGCUGGGGAAGGGAUGGUAUAAAAUGGCAUUAAUGAAUGAGCAAAGUCCGGGAGAUAGUGGAGGACAGGGAAGUUGGGCGUGCUGCAGUCACUGGGGCUACAAAGAGUUGGACAUGACUUAGCAACUAAAAAACAACAACAACAAUAAAAGUCGGAGGCACUGCCAUCAGUUGAACAGGAUCACUCCUGUGGCUUUGGAGCAAGUGAUCAUGGGAAAGCUGCAUCUGCCUGCAUUGGGGACACCUGUCUCUCCUGCAAAUCAGUUCCCUAGGGCUUGGCAGCUUCUUCCCUCCCAUCACCUAUCUGCUUCUUCCAUCACCAAUCUGCCCACCUGCCUCUAUCCCUGAGGCCCUCAGGGAGGAGCUGACCCAGGGAAGGAGCUAGAGACAGCAGUGGAACAAGUUCUAUGGGGCAGAGGGAAGGCGCCUACCUCCCUAUUUAUUAACUGAGGUCCUGGCCUCCCUCCGGCCCUGAUCUAGGCAGAUCAGGCUCUGCCUAGCUUAGCCUGCCUGCCCGCUCCUCCCCACCUCCCUGUGCCCAUUCAAAGGAGGCAGCUCUCAUAUAUGCUGGAGCUUGACACACCCAGCUCCUUCCACCAGUCUAGCCUUCUCCUCUAACAGAAGAUGUCUGUGCCUGAGGCUGGGAGACCUGAGAUGCCUGCUAUGUUGAGCCUCCCUGGGAGGUGAGACCUGGCAAUCUGAGCCUUCAGAGCACACCCAGAGCCCCAGUUAGCAGGCAGCCAUCUCUCUCCAAAGCCUCCUGCUGGGCUCAGCACUGGCCUUUUCUCUCUCUGUCUCUUUACGAAAAAAAAAAGUAUUUAUUUAUUUGGUGGUAUCAGCCUGUAGGAUCUUCAAUCUUCGUUGCAGCAUGCAAGCUCUUAAUUGUGGAAUUGUCUAGUUCCCUGACCAGGGAUCGAACCCAGAUCUCCUGCGCUGGGGGCACGGAGUCUUAGCUACUGGACCAGCAGGGAGUUUCCUGGCCUUUUUCUUAAUGAUCUUAAUGAUGAGAGCCAAAGGGAAAAUACAUGGGAGUCAGAGGAACUGAGGCUGGAUAUUUUCCUGGCCCUUAUUCUCUCUCUCCCAUCCACCCUGGGUUUUCUGUUCCAGAUCAGCCCUAGCCCCAUGAUGAAGUCACUCUCCUUCUUGGGGCCUUCUAGUCCAGCUUCAAGAAGAGGGGCUUGGGCCCAGGAAGCUGCUUGUUACCAGAUGCCCCCAGGUGGUUCCAAGGCAGGUGCUGGGUGGACAGGGUUAAAGAAGCAGCUGUCUUGUACAUUCCAGAAAGGCUUUGUCUUACAUUCCUCCUGGAUGUACCCCUAGAAGCCAAGGGUCUGAAGUGAGCAACCAAGAGGCUGGGGCUUCUGGAAACAAGGCAGAUGAUCCUCUUUGUGGGACUUGACUCUGAAAGCUGCUACCAUCAGUGGUUAGGAUUCUGAGCUUCUACUGCCCGGGGCCCCAGUUCAAUCCCUGGUCAGGGAACAAGAUCAUACAAGCAACACAUUGCAGACAAAUAAAUUAAAAAAAAAAUUUUUUUUAAAGAAAUACCAAUCUUACAACCCAGCCAUUGCGUCCUUCGAUUCUUACCCAAGAAUGAAAACAUGUCCACACAAAGACGUUACACAAAUGUUUGUAGGAGUUUUUCUGGUAAUAACCCCAAACUGGAAACAACACAAAUAUCGACCAUUAGAAUGGAUAAACAAAUAUGGUAUAUCCAUACAACAGAAUGUUACUCAGCAGUCAAAAGGAACAAACGAUUGAUUCACACAACAUGGAUGAACUUCAAAAUAAUUAUGUUGAGUGAAAGAAGACCAAAAAGAGUAUAUUCUGUUUGAUUUCAUUUAGGUAAAAUUCUAGAAAGGGAAUCAGUGGUUACCUGGGGCGAAGGUAGAGAGAAAGAGGGAGAGAUUACAAAAGGGCACGGGACUUCCCUGGUGGUCCAGUGGUUAAAACUCCUUGCUCCCAAUGCCGGGAGCAUGACUUUGAUGCCUGGUCUUGGUCCUGCAUACUCCACAACACAGCCAAAAUAAUAGUGAUAAUGGCAUGAAGAAACUUCUAGGUAUGAUGAGUAGGUUCAUUACCUUUAUUAAAGUAAUGUUGACACGUGUUGAAACCCAAAUUAUUUUGUGCUUUGAAUAUGCACCGUUUGUUAUGUGUCCAUUGUAAUUUAAACAAAUUUUAUUGGAAGAUAUUUGCUUCGUAUUGUGCUGAUUUCUGCUAUCCAUCAACAUGAACCAGCCACAGGUAUACAAAUGUCCCCUCCCUCUUGAGCCUCCCUCCCAUCUCCGAC
This is a long non-coding RNA of Bos taurus (domestic cattle), 4949 nucleotides long. Lineage: Eukaryota; Metazoa; Chordata; Mammalia; Artiodactyla; Bovidae. The record is from Ensembl.